GUUCUUGUUGCAUUCCCACGCUCUAGAGGUCGCGGCGAGCCUCUUCGAAUCGUCGUUCUGUAGCCAUGCUCGAUCGCUCGCAGGCCCGAUUUGCAGGUAGUAAUCCUGUGGCUUCGCAUUUCUAGUGUUGGGUAUAUGAAUACCGAUUGUGGGUAAGACAAACAUGAAAGAAAUGGGUUGGAUUUAGGGUUUAGGGCUGAGCUAGUGAAAUCGCUACGAUCCAUGAACGUGCUGGAUCAGAUUGUGGGGCGAGUGCAGUCUUUGUGUGUGUAUGUGUGCGAGUAGGAACGAUGUCUCGUGUCUCAGCAGUUUACUUGAGCAAGCGGAUAAAGUUUUUGCACGCUUGCGCUCUUCGUCUCCGUCAUUCCUUGUUCGUUUCCCUCGUCUCGUGUCUUUAUUUUGCUAGCUUCUGUUGUUAAUGGCGUCAGUUUGGUGAAUAGGGUUCGCGGGUCUGAACCUAGUUGGACGAGUCUGGACAUUGCUGAUUGGAUAAAGAUGUGAUUGAAGGAAUAUACAGCGAGGCUUCAUGAUGUGGAACAUUCAGCUGGGAGCAGUUCGAACUCUUCACUCCUUUGCUUCGAAGCCGCGGAUGGUCACAGUUUCACUUUUAACAACUUUUGCCGGAGAUUAAAGGAGCAAUCAAUAUUCUUCAAGGAACCUAUGCGCGUCAUUCUGCCCGUGAAUACUUGACUACCAUUCACGCAUACUCUCUGCAGAUGUGAUGUUUGUCCAAAUGCUAUGACUCCUGUCGUAUUGUCUAUGAGGACUGCAUGUUUGAAACUGAUACAAAAACAAAAAAAAACAAAACGAAAAACGAGCUGCACUCAAUCCUGGGACUCCCUUCUGCAUUGCUACCGUGGGGGAAUGAUCUACAUUGGUUUGAAAAUUCUCUGCAAGGCGUAGGAACUCUUCCAACACGAAUUGCGUCUCUAUUCCCAAAUCAGAGUAACCUAUCUAUUAGAAAAGCAUUAUCAAGUGCUUAGUUCGUCUUUGAGAAGAAUAGAAUCAUUCACCUUUUGAUACUCAUUGGUAUCAGUUUGUUGCUGAGACUGCUAUAGCUCCCACGACAGCCCUGAGUGCUAUUCACUAUUGCAGCUUUCAGGAAGAUGGGCGUGUUUCACUAAUACAAAAUGGUAAGUCUGAGAGCAGUCUGAAACUUGGUCGUUCUAAUUUGAAAAGAAAUAGUUCGUAUGAGGAUAGUGGAUUAACUGUGUUCAAUGAUGUCUAAUGAGUCUUCGUCCACCUGAUAUCGUACAGGUCCCUCCUCAUCCGUAGUGUAUCCUGCAGUUGUACUAAGAAACCCAAAAUCAUGUCUUUGAUUAUGUCCCAUAUUUUUUGUGGAAUUUAUUAUGUUUCUAAACUUCCAGGUCUUGCCUUUGUUUA
Molecule: non-coding RNA, 1383 nt
Organism: Physcomitrium patens
Lineage: Eukaryota; Viridiplantae; Streptophyta; Bryopsida; Funariales; Funariaceae
Source: RefSeq, a predicted model, not a curated record